This 547-nucleotide ribosomal RNA is filed under the name uncultured bacterium. RNAcentral describes it as "bacterial SSU rRNA". It matches the Rfam family "Bacterial small subunit ribosomal RNA", at positions 112 to 673 of the family's 1533-position model. The record is from RNAcentral.
AACACGUGAGUAACCUGCCCUUGACUCUGGGAUAACUGCUAGAAAUGGUAGCUAAUACCGGAUACGACCCUCGGCCGCAUGGUCAGGGGGUGGAAAGAAUUUUGGUCAAGGAUGGACUCGCGGCCUAUCAGGUAGUUGGUGAGGUAAUGGCUCACCAAGCCCACGACGGGUAGCCGGCCUGAGAGGGUGACCGGCCACACUGGGACUGAGACACGGCCCAGACUCCUACGGGAGGCAGCAGUGGGGAAUAUUGCACAAUGGGCGAAAGCCUGAUGCAGCAACGCCGCGUGAGGGACGACGGCCUUCGGGUUGUAAACCUCUUUUAGUAGGGAAGAAGCGAAAGUGACGGUACCUGCAGAAAAAGCACCGGCUAACUACGUGCCAGCAGCCGCGGUAAUACGUAGGGUGCAAGCGUUGUCCGGAAUUAUUGGGCGUAAAGAGCUCGUAGGCGGUUUGUCGCGUCUGCUGUGAAAUCCGGAGGCUCAACCUCCGGCCUGCAGUGGGUACGGGCAGACUAGAGUGCGGUAGGGGAGAUUGGAAUUCCUGG